Rattus norvegicus (Norway rat) is the source of this 591-nucleotide non-coding RNA. The record is from RefSeq and is a predicted model, not a curated record. Lineage: Eukaryota; Metazoa; Chordata; Mammalia; Rodentia; Muridae.
GAAGUCACAAAGACCAAGGAUUCAUUAAGACAGUUGAGGACUUAGGGAUCUGCUGUAGGAUGAGUGCUCAGUACUGAGGGCUGUUAUUCCCAGAAAACAUCCUCCUUCUAGAACUAAAGUCCUGCUCCUGUGUUUCCAGGCCUGCUGUACAGCCACAGAGAAACAACUCAUUAGAUUCUGGUGUUUAGGUACCGGUAGGCAGAAGGUGGAGAGAGGAGGAGCAGCCCGUCCUGCCUCCAGAAUGGACCUUGGGGACAGACUAGGCUCAUUCUUACUGAUUCCAGAUCAGAAGAGAGAGAGAGAGCUGCGUGGAGGGGAAGUGCCUUGCUUAAGAACGAGUGACAGACCUCAGUGGAGAUGAUCGAUUCUGCUGUGUCCUCUUAUGACUCCACUGAACAGCCUAGUCCACACCAUGCUCCUCGUUUGAGUGAAGAGAAACCUCCCUGCUUCUCCUGCAUGCUCACCACUCGCUCCUCCAGUUUGAGCCUCACAGCCAGCAGAGUCAUCCUUUUCAAAGGUUCCUUCUUGAAUUCCCGCCCUGACUUCCCUCAGUGACGAACAAUGGCAUGAAAAUAUAAGCCAGAUAAACAC